UACGUAGGGCGCAAGCGUUGUCCGGAAUUAUUGGGCGUAAAGAGCUCGUAGGCGGUCUGUUACGUCUGCUGUGAAAACCCAGGGCUUAACCCUGGGCUUGCAGUGGAUACGGGCAGACUAGAGGCAGGUAGGGGAGAAUGGAAUUCCCGGUGUAGCGGUGAAAUGCGCAGAUAUCGGGAGGAACACCGAUGGCGAAGGCAAUCCCCUGGGCCUGUACUGACGCUCAUGCACGAAAGCGUGGGGGAGCAAACAGG
This 254-nucleotide ribosomal RNA is filed under the name uncultured bacterium. RNAcentral describes it as "partial 16S ribosomal RNA". It matches the Rfam family "Bacterial small subunit ribosomal RNA", at positions 524 to 776 of the family's 1533-position model. The record is from RNAcentral.